GGGCCCGCACAAGCAGUGGAGCAUGUGGUUUAAUUCGAUGCAACGCGAAGAACCUUACCAGGCCUUGACAUCCUCGGAACUUUCUAGAGAUAGAUUGGUGCCUUCGGGAACCGAGUGACAGGUGCUGCAUGGCUGUCGUCAGCUCGUGUCGUGAGAUGUUGGGUUAAGUCCCGUAACGAGCGCAACCCUUGUCCUUAGUUGCCAGCAGUUCGGCUGGGCACUCUAUGGAAACUGCCCGUGAUAAGCGGGAGGAAGGUGUGGAUGACGUCAAGUCCUCAUGGCCCUUACGGGUUGGGCUACACACGUGCUACAAUGGUGGUGACAAUGGGUUAAUCCCAAAAAGCCAUCUCAGUUCGGAUUGGGGUCUGCAACUCGACCCCAUG
RNAcentral lists this ribosomal RNA (383 nucleotides) under uncultured bacterium. Its description in RNAcentral is "bacterial SSU rRNA". It matches the Rfam family "Bacterial small subunit ribosomal RNA", at positions 917 to 1322 of the family's 1533-position model. The record is from RNAcentral.